UAUGUAUCCUCUUCUACUUCUCCCCUGUUUUCACCGUCAUAUACACGUUAUGGUUUACUCAUUGGUUAAAAGAAAAUCAAGCCUGUGUGGUUUAUCCGGCUGUUGCAUAACCGUUUGUUUUCACACACUUCUCCUUGUAGUCUUUCACAGCUGCCUUGAUGGCGUCCUCCGCCAACAUACUGAAAUGGAGCUUGACUGGUGGGAGAGAAAGAAAUGGGAACCUUCUAUACAUUCA
Arabidopsis thaliana (thale cress) is the source of this 235-nucleotide long non-coding RNA. RefSeq annotates it as other RNA. The transcript has a single exon. The record is from RefSeq. NCBI's taxonomy places the organism in Eukaryota, Viridiplantae, Streptophyta, Magnoliopsida, Brassicales, Brassicaceae.